Long non-coding RNA from Mustela erminea (ermine), 401 nucleotides. RefSeq lists it as uncharacterized. The transcript has 3 exons. Lineage: Eukaryota; Metazoa; Chordata; Mammalia; Carnivora; Mustelidae. The record is from RefSeq and is a predicted model, not a curated record.
GGAGAGGCAGGUUGAGAAAGAAGGGAUGAGUGGCACCAGGGCCCUGCCCCCACUGACUCACCGGAAGGGAAUGGAAACAGGGCGUGGGCUGAAGCUGCCAGGGCCCAGUCUCGCCCUCUUAGGGCCUCACCUGGCUCAGAGGGUUUCAGGAGACCACACUGUUGUCUUCAGCUGAAUGUGAAAUGCAUCCCAAACUCAGAGAAAUGGCUGUAUAAACAGAGACCGGGGGAGAGAUAGAGCCGAGAGCACAGGAACCAAGGGAGACGAGACGGGAGCUGCAGUGUCUAGAAGCCGCAGUGUUCAUGGAGUGGAUAUAUUAUCAUGGAGCUCACUGUCUUCUAUUGACGGGUAUGUAAGUUGUUUCCAAUCUCCUGCUAUUACCAAAACAAAACAAAACAAAA